GACGAACGCUGGCGGCGUGCUUAACACAUGCAAGUCGAACGGAAAGGCCCUGCUUGCAGGGUACUCGAGUGGCGAACGGGUGAGUAACACGUGGGUGAUCUGCCCUGCUCUUCGGGAUAAGCCUGGGAAACUGGGUCUAAUACCGGAUAGGGGCCAUUUUUAGUGUGAUGGUUGGAAAGUUUUUUCGGUGUAGGAUGAGCUCGCGGCCUAUCGGCUUGUUGGGGGGGUGAUGGCCUACCAAGGCGGCGACGGGUAGCCGGCCUGUGAGGGUGGACCGCCGCCUUGGGACUGAGGGACGGCCCAGACUCCUACGGGAGGCAGCAGGGGGGAAUAUUGCACAAUGGGCGCAAGCCUGAUGCAGCGGCGCCGCGUGGGGGAUGACGGCCUUCGGGUUGUAAACUCCUUUCGCUAGGGACGAAGCUUUUUGUGACGGUACCUAGAUAAGAAGCACCGGCUAACUACGUG
This 465-nucleotide ribosomal RNA is filed under the name uncultured bacterium. RNAcentral's name for it is "partial 16S ribosomal RNA". It matches the Rfam family "Bacterial small subunit ribosomal RNA", at positions 28 to 507 of the family's 1533-position model. The record is from RNAcentral.